AUUGAACGCUGGCGGAAUGCUUUACACAUGCAAGUCGAACGGCAGCACGGACUUCGGUCUGGUGGCGAGUGGCGAACGGGUGAGUAAUGUAUCGGAACGUGCCCAGUCGUGGGGGAUAACGUAGUGAAAAUUACGCUAAUACCGCAUACGAUCUAUGGAUGAAAGCGGGGGAUCGCAAGACCUCGCGCGAUUGGAGCGGCCGAUAUCAGAUUAGGUAGUUGGUGGGGUAAAGGCCCACCAAGCCAACGAUCUGUAGCUGGUCUGAGAGGACGACAAGCCACACUGGAACUGCGACACGGUCCAGACUCCUACGGGAGGCAGCAGUGGGGAAUUUUGGACAAUGGGCGAAAGCCUGAUCCAGCCAUUCCGCGUGCAGGAUGAAGGCCCUAGGGUUGUAAACUGCUUUUGUACAGAACGAAAAGGUUUCUACUAAUACUAGGAGCUCAUGACGGUACUGUAAGAAUAAGCACCGGCUAACUACGUGCCAGCAGCCGCCGUAA
RNAcentral lists this ribosomal RNA (500 nucleotides) under uncultured bacterium. RNAcentral's name for it is "partial 16S ribosomal RNA". It matches the Rfam family "Bacterial small subunit ribosomal RNA", at positions 30 to 523 of the family's 1533-position model. The record is from RNAcentral.